GAUGAACGCUGGCGGCGUGCUUAACACAUGCAAGUCGAACGAAGCACUUAAGAUUGAUUCUUCGGAUGACGUCUUUUGUGACUUAGUGGCGGACGGGUGAGUAACGCGUGGGUAACCUGCCUCACACAGGGGGAUAACAGUUAGAAAUGACUGCUAAUACCGCAUAACCCGAUAGGAUCGCAUGAUCCAGACGGAAAAGAUUUAUCGGUGUGAGAUGGACCCGCGUCUGAUUAGCUAGUUGGUGAGGUAACGGCCCACCAAGGCGACGAUCAGUAGCCGGGCUGAGAGGGUGAACGGCCACAUUGGGACUGAGACACGGCCCAAACUCCUACGGGAGGCAGCAGUGGGGAAUAUUGCACAAUGGGGGAAACCCUGAUGCAGCGACGCCGCGUGAGUGAAGAAGUAUUUCGGUAUGUAAAGCUCUAUCAGCAGGGAAGAAAAUGACGGUACCUGACUAAGAAGCCCCGGCUAACUACGUG
RNAcentral lists this ribosomal RNA (479 nucleotides) under uncultured bacterium. RNAcentral describes it as "partial 16S ribosomal RNA". It matches the Rfam family "Bacterial small subunit ribosomal RNA", at positions 28 to 507 of the family's 1533-position model. The record is from RNAcentral.